Long non-coding RNA from Populus euphratica (Euphrates poplar), 691 nucleotides. RefSeq lists it as uncharacterized. The record is from RefSeq and is a predicted model, not a curated record. The transcript has 2 exons. Lineage: Eukaryota; Viridiplantae; Streptophyta; Magnoliopsida; Malpighiales; Salicaceae.
GACAACAAAGUAAAGGCAUGCCAUAUCUUGUCUUGCGUGUGAGUAUGAGUGAGGACUUGGGGAUCGACAGAUGUUGGUAGUUCGUGGUGAGAAAGUUGGAGCUUGUAAUGAGAGCUGGACAAAGUUUAGCCCACUCUCUCAUGCACAGUGCAAAAAAGAUGCUUUCAGCGUGUCUAUGGUAGCUUGGAAAGGAGAGAACAUUUAUCUACCCGCUUGUGGCAGAGCAGAUAGCAAGAACAACGUUCCAUCACAACUCGGGUGGCAGGGUGAGAAAAGGCGUCGUGUGGACAAAAAUUAAAACAAACUUGUUUAGUCAGCAACUUGAAAUUUAGGCUGAAUUCUUAUUCGAGAUCAAGAAAGUACUGGUUGGAUUGCAUCUAUCAAGAGAAGCACAAAUGCCAGCAACUAAUUGCAGUUACCGUGCCUACAAACUUUAGAGAUAAUGCGUAAUCUAACAACAUUAACACUCUAGAAAACACAUAGUAAUGUUGAUUUAGCUAAAUGAAAGUGAAUGAGGACCACAUCCAAACCCUAAUCGCAGUAUUAACUCAAGGGUGGAUUGAAAGAGACAUGGACACACAACAUAAUUCAUGGGCAAGUCUGUGUGGUUUCAACUAUACGUUCAUGAGCAAACAGCGAAAGCAAUGAUUAAAUGAAAGAAUAACUGAUUCCAUAAAAUAAAAAAUAAAAA